Molecule: ribosomal RNA, 460 nt
Filed under: uncultured bacterium
Lineage: Bacteria
Description: partial 16S ribosomal RNA
Rfam family: Bacterial small subunit ribosomal RNA
Source: RNAcentral
CCUACGGGGGGCAGCAGUGAGGAAUAUUGGUCAAUGGACGAGAGUCUGAACCAGCCAAGUAGCGUGAAGGAUGACUGCCCUAUGGGUUGUAAACUUCUUUUAUAUGGGAAUAAAACGUUCCACGUGUGGGAUUUUGUAUGUACCAUAUGAAUAAGGAUCGGCUAACUCCGUGCCAGCAGCCGCGGUAAUACGGAGGAUCCGAGCGUUAUCCGGAUUUAUUGGGUUUAAAGGGAGAGUAGGUGGAUUGUUAAGUCAGUUGUGAAAGUUUGGGGCUCAACCGUAAAAUUGCAGUUGAAACUGGCAGUCUUGAGUACAGUAGAGGUGGGCGGAAUUCGUGGUGUAGCGGUGAAAUGCUUAGAUAUCACGAAGAACUCCGAUUGCGAAGGCAGUUCACUGGACUGCAACUGACACUGAGGCUCGAAAGUGUGGGUAUCAAACAGGAUUAGAUACCCCAGUAGUC